AACGAACGCUAGCGGGAUGCCUUACACAUGCAAGUCGAACGGCGUGGCGAACGGGUGAGUAAUGUAUCGUAACGUGCCCAGUAGCGGGGGAUAACUACGCGAAAGCGUAGCUAAUACCGCAUACGUUUGGAGCGGCCGAAAUCGGAUUAGCUAGUUGGUGGGGUAACGGCUGACCAAGGCGACGAUCCGUAGCUGGUUUGAGAGGACGACCAGCCACACUGGGACUGAGACACGGCCCAGACUCCUACGGGAGGCAGCAGUGGGGAAUUGUGGACAAUGGGGGAAACCCUGAUCCAGCCAGCCCGCGUGUGCGAUGAAGGCCUUCGGGUUGUAAAGCACUUUUGGUAGGAAAGCGGUACCUGCAGAAUAAGCACCGGCUAACUACGUGCCAGCCGCCGCGGUAAUUC
This 407-nucleotide ribosomal RNA is filed under the name uncultured bacterium. RNAcentral describes it as "partial 16S ribosomal RNA". It matches the Rfam family "Bacterial small subunit ribosomal RNA", at positions 29 to 526 of the family's 1533-position model. The record is from RNAcentral.